UUAAGCGACUAAGCGUACACGGUGGAUGCCCUGGCAGUCAGAGGCGAUGAAGGACGUGCUAAUCUGCGAUAAGCGUCGGUAAGGUGAUAUGAACCGUUAUAACCGGCGAUUUCCGAAUGGGGAAACCCAGUGUGAUUCGUCACACUAUCAUUAACUGAAUCCAUAGGUUAAUGAGGCGAACCGGGGGAACUGAAACAUCUAAGUACCCCGAGGAAAAGAAAUCAACCGAGAUUCCCCCAGUAGCGGCGAGCGAACGGGGAGCAGCCCAGAGCCUGAAUCAGUGUGUGUGUUAGUGGAAGCGUCUGGAAAGGCGCGCGAUACAGGGUGACAGCCCCGUACACAAAAAUGCACAUGCUGUGAGCUCGAUGAGUAGGGCGGGACACGUGGUAUCCUGUCUGAAUAUGGGGGGACCAUCCUCCAAGGCUAAAUACUCCUGACUGACCGAUAGUGAACCAGUACCGUGAGGGAAAGGCGAAAAGAACCCCGGCGAGGGGAGUGAAAAAGAACCUGAAACCGUGUACGUACAAGCAGUGGGAGCCUCUUUUAUGGGGUGACUGCGUACCUUUUGUAUAAUGGGUCAGCGACUUAUAUUCUGUAGCAAGGUUAACCGAAUAGGGGAGCCGAAGGGAAACCGAGUCUUAACUGGGCGUUAAGUUGCAGGGUAUAGACCCGAAACCCGGUGAUCUAGCCAUGGGCAGGUUGAAGGUUGGGUAACACUAACUGGAGGACCGAACCGACUAAUGUUGAAAAAUUAGCGGAUGACUUGUGGCUGGGGGUGAAAGGCCAAUCAAACCGGGAGAUAGCUGGUUCUCCCCGAAAGCUAUUUAGGUAGCGCCUCGUGAAUUCAUCUCCGGGGGUAGAGCACUGUUUCGGCAAGGGGGUCAUCCCGACUUACCAACCCGAUGCAAACUGCGAAUACCGGAGAAUGUUAUCACGGGAGACACACGGCGGGUGCUAACGUCCGUCGUGAAGAGGGAAACAACCCAGACCGCCAGCUAAGGUCCCAAAGUCAUGGUUAAGUGGGAAACGAUGUGGGAAGGCCCAGACAGCCAGGAUGUUGGCUUAGAAGCAGCCAUCAUUUAAAGAAAGCGUAAUAGCUCACUGGUCGAGUCGGCCUGCGCGGAAGAUGUAACGGGGCUAAACCAUGCACCGAAGCUGCGGCAGCGACACUAUGUGUUGUUGGGUAGGGGAGCGUUCUGUAAGCCUGUGAAGGUGUGCUGUGAGGCAUGCUGGAGGUAUCAGAAGUGCGAAUGCUGACAUAAGUAACGAUAAAGCGGGUGAAAAGCCCGCUCGCCGGAAGACCAAGGGUUCCUGUCCAACGUUAAUCGGGGCAGGGUGAGUCGACCCCUAAGGCGAGGCCGAAAGGCGUAGUCGAUGGGAAACAGGUUAAUAUUCCUGUACUUGGUGUUACUGCGAAGGGGGGACGGAGAAGGCUAUGUUGGCCGGGCGACGGUUGUCCCGGUUUAAGCGUGUAGGCUGGUUUUCCAGGCAAAUCCGGAAAAUCAAGGCUGAGGCGUGAUGACGAGGCACUACGGUGCUGAAGCAACAAAUGCCCUGCUUCCAGGAAAAGCCUCUAAGCAUCAGGUAACAUCAAAUCGUACCCCAAACCGACACAGGUGGUCAGGUAGAGAAUACCAAGGCGCUUGAGAGAACUCGGGUGAAGGAACUAGGCAAAAUGGUGCCGUAACUUCGGGAGAAGGCACGCUGAUAUGUAGGUGAAGUCCCUCGCGGAUGGAGCUGAAAUCAGUCGAAGAUACCAGCUGGCUGCAACUGUUUAUUAAAAACACAGCACUGUGCAAACACGAAAGUGGACGUAUACGGUGUGACGCCUGCCCGGUGCCGGAAGGUUAAUUGAUGGGGUUAGCGCAAGCGAAGCUCUUGAUCGAAGCCCCGGUAAACGGCGGCCGUAACUAUAACGGUCCUAAGGUAGCGAAAUUCCUUGUCGGGUAAGUUCCGACCUGCACGAAUGGCGUAAUGAUGGCCAGGCUGUCUCCACCCGAGACUCAGUGAAAUUGAACUCGCUGUGAAGAUGCAGUGUACCCGCGGCAAGACGGAAAGACCCCGUGAACCUUUACUAUAGCUUGACACUGAACAUUGAGCCUUGAUGUGUAGGAUAGGUGGGAGGCUUAGAAGUGUGGACGCCAGUCUGCAUGGAGCCGACCUUGAAAUACCACCCUUUAAUGUUUGAUGUUCUAACGUUGACCCGUAAUCCGGGUUGCGGACAGUGUCUGGUGGGUAGUUUGACUGGGGCGGUCUCCUCCUAAAGAGUAACGGAGGAGCACGAAGGUUGGCUAAUCCUGGUCGGACAUCAGGAGGUUAGUGCAAUGGCAUAAGCCAGCUUGACUGCGAGCGUGACGGCGCGAGCAGGUGCGAAAGCAGGUCAUAGUGAUCCGGUGGUUCUGAAUGGAAGGGCCAUCGCUCAACGGAUAAAAGGUACUCCGGGGAUAACAGGCUGAUACCGCCCAAGAGUUCAUAUCGACGGCGGUGUUUGGCACCUCGAUGUCGGCUCAUCACAUCCUGGGGCUGAAGUAGGUCCCAAGGGUAUGGCUGUUCGCCAUUUAAAGUGGUACGCGAGCUGGGUUUAGAACGUCGUGAGACAGUUCGGUCCCUAUCUGCCGUGGGCGCUGGAGAACUGAGGGGGGCUGCUCCUAGUACGAGAGGACCGGAGUGGACGCAUCACUGGUGUUCGGGUUGUCAUGCCAAUGGCACUGCCCGGUAGCUAAAUGCGGAAGAGAUAAGUGCUGAAAGCAUCUAAGCACGAAACUUGCCCCGAGAUGAGUUCUCCCUGACUCCUUGAGAGUCCUGAAGGAACGUUGAAGACGACGACGUUGAUAGGCCGGGUGUGUAAGCGCAGCGAUGCGUUGAGCUAACCGGUACUAAUGAACCGUGAGGCUUAACCUU
This 2901-nucleotide ribosomal RNA is filed under the name Escherichia coli. RNAcentral's name for it is "23S ribosomal RNA". It matches the Rfam family "Bacterial large subunit ribosomal RNA". The record is from RNAcentral. Lineage: Bacteria; Pseudomonadati; Pseudomonadota; Gammaproteobacteria; Enterobacterales; Enterobacteriaceae.